RNAcentral lists this non-coding RNA (36 nucleotides) under unclassified sequences. RNAcentral's name for it is "DUF805b RNA". It matches the Rfam family "DUF805b RNA". From Rfam's summary of the family: Bacteroidetes, Chlorobi (1 example), Proteobacteria. The record is from RNAcentral.
AGGGAGAGUGCCGAAAAUCCCAUCACAGAGUAGGCG